This 553-nucleotide ribosomal RNA is filed under the name uncultured Nitrososphaerota archaeon. Its description in RNAcentral is "bacterial SSU rRNA". It matches the Rfam family "Archaeal small subunit ribosomal RNA", at positions 325 to 879 of the family's 1478-position model. Lineage: Archaea; Thermoproteati; Nitrososphaerota. The record is from RNAcentral.
ACGGGGUGCAGCAGGCGCGAAACCUUUGCAAUGUGCGAAAGCACGACAAGGUUAAUCCGAGUGUCUCCCGCUAAGGGAGUCUUUUGUCAGUUCUAGAACCACUGGUGAAUAAGGGGUGGGCAAGUUCUGGUGUCAGCCGCCGCGGUAAAACCAGCACCUCGAGUGGUCAGGAGGUUUAUUGGGCCUAAAGCAUCCGUAGCCGGUUGCAUAAGUUUUCGGUUAAAUCCAUGCGCUUAACGUAUGGGCUGCCGGGAAUACUGCAUAACUAGGAAGUGGGAGAGGUAGACGGUACUCGGUAGGAAGGGGUAAAAUCCUUUGAUCUAUUGAUGACCACCUGUGGCGAAGGCGGUCUACCAGAACACGUUCGACGGUGAGGGAUGAAAGCUGGGGGAGCAAACCGGAUUAGAUACCCGGGUAGUCCCAGCUGUAAACUAUGCAAACUCAGUGAUGCAUUGGCUUGUGGCCAAUGCAGUGCUGCAGGGAAGCCGUUAAGUUUGCCGCCUGGGAAGUACGUACGCAAGUAUGAAACUUAAAGGAAUUGGCGUGGGAGCAC